Molecule: ribosomal RNA, 425 nt
Filed under: uncultured cyanobacterium
Lineage: Bacteria; Bacillati; Cyanobacteriota
Description: bacterial SSU rRNA
Rfam family: Bacterial small subunit ribosomal RNA
Source: RNAcentral
UGGGAAUUUUCCGCAAUGGGCGAAAGCCUGACGGAGCAAUACCGCGUGAGGGAUGAAGGAUUUUGGUCUGUAAACCUCUUUUCUCAAGAAAGAAGUUCUGACGGUACUUGAGGAAUAAGCAUCGGCUAACUCCGUGCCAGCAGCCGCGGUAAUACGGGGGAUGCAAGCGUUAUCCGGAAUCAUUGGGCGUAAAGCGCCUGUAGGUUGUUUAAUAAGUCUGUUGUUAAAGACUAGGGCUCAACCCUAGAAAAGCAAUGGAAACUACUAGACUAGAGUAUGGCAGGGGUAGAGGGAAUUUCUAGUGUAGCGGUGAAAUGCGUAGAUAUUAGAAAGAACACCGGUGGCGAAAGCGCUCUACUGGACCAUUACUGACACUCAGAGGCGAAAGCUAGGGUAGCAAAAGGGAUUAGAUACCCCUGGAGUCA